Molecule: unclassified non-coding RNA, 341 nt
Filed under: soil metagenome
Description: partial contains 5.8S ribosomal RNA, internal transcribed spacer 2, and large subunit ribosomal RNA
Rfam family: 5.8S ribosomal RNA (bases 1-120)
Source: RNAcentral
GAUGAAGAACGUAGCGAAAUGCGAUAAGUAGUGUGGAUUGCAGAAUUCAGUGAAUCAUCGAAUCUUUGAACGCACAUUGCGCCCUUUGGUAUUCCAAAGGGCAUGCCUGUUCGAGCGUCAUUUGUACCCUCAAGCUUUGCUUGGUGUUGGGCGUCUUGUCUCUAGCUUUGCUGGAGACUCGCCUUAAAGUAAUUGGCAGCCGGCCUACUGGUUUCGGAGCGCAGCACAAGUCGCACUCUCUAUCAGCAAAGGUCUAGCAUCCACUAAGCCUUUUUUUCAACUUUUGACCUCGGAUCAGGUAGGGAUACCCGCUGAACUUAAGCAUAUCAAUAAGCGGAGGA